Molecule: ribosomal RNA, 468 nt
Filed under: uncultured bacterium
Lineage: Bacteria
Description: partial 16S ribosomal RNA
Rfam family: Bacterial small subunit ribosomal RNA
Source: RNAcentral
GACGAACGCUGGCGGCGUGCUUAACACAUGCCAGUCGAACGGAAAGGCCCUGCUUUUGUGGGGUGCUCGAGUGGCGAACGGGUGCGUAACACGUGAGUAACCUGCCCUUGACUUUGGGAUAACUUCAGGAAACUGGGGCUAAUACCGUAUAGGAGCUCCUGCUGCAUGGUGGGGGGUGGAAAGUUUCGGCGGUUGGGGAUGGACUCGCGGCUUAUCAGCUUGUUGGUUGGGUAGUGGCUUACCAAGGCUUUGACGGGUAGCCGGCCUGAGAGGGUGACCGGCGACAAUGGGACUGAGAGACGGAGCAGAGUCCUACGGGAGGCAGCAGUGGGGAAUAUUGCACAGUGGGAGGAAGCCUGAUGAAGCAACGCCGCGGGCGGGAUGACGGCCUUCGGGUUGUAAAACGCUUUCGCCUGUGACGAAGCGUGAGUGACGGUAAUGGGUAAAGAAGCACCGGCUAACUACGUG